UACGAAGGGGGCUAGCGUUGCUCGGAUUUACUGGGCGUAAAGGGCGCGUAGGCGGACAGUUUAGUCAGAGGUGAAAGCCCAGGGCUCAACCUUGGAAUUGCCUUUGAUACUGGCUGUCUUGAGUACGGGAGAGGUGAGUGGAACUCCGAGUGUAGAGGUGAAAUUCGUAGAUAUUCGGAAGAACACCAGUGGCGAAGGCGACUCACUGGGCCGCAACUGACGCUGAGGAGCGAAAGCAUGGGGAGCGAACAGG
This 253-nucleotide ribosomal RNA is filed under the name uncultured bacterium. Its description in RNAcentral is "partial 16S ribosomal RNA". It matches the Rfam family "Bacterial small subunit ribosomal RNA", at positions 524 to 776 of the family's 1533-position model. The record is from RNAcentral.